Molecule: unclassified non-coding RNA, 232 nt
Filed under: rhizosphere metagenome
Description: partial ribosomal RNA internal transcribed spacer region
Source: RNAcentral
GUUGGUGAACCAGCGGAGGGAUCAUUAAAGAGUUGCAAAGCUCCUUAAAACCAUCUGUGAACUCGUCCGUCAGUGUUGCUUCGGUGGGUGGCCCCAGGGGGGGCCGUAGCCCGAACCCCUCUCCGGAGGGGGGACGGCGCCCGCCGGAAGUACGAAACUCUUCUGUAUUAUAGUGGUAUCUCUGAUUUAAACAAAUAAGUUAAAACUUUCAACAACGGAUCUCUUGGCUCUG